This is a long non-coding RNA of Syngnathus acus (greater pipefish), 136 nucleotides long. RefSeq lists it as uncharacterized. The transcript is spliced from 2 exons. Lineage: Eukaryota; Metazoa; Chordata; Actinopteri; Syngnathiformes; Syngnathidae. The record is from RefSeq and is a predicted model, not a curated record.
AGAGGCUGUUCUGUUGUUCGGCCAGUUGAUCGCUAGAUGUCACUACUACGCUGCAAUCCACCAAUAUAUUAAGGUAAAUUUGUCUCAGGACAAAAUAAAACUGCACACGAUGCAUUCAUUAAAAGCUCACCUAUGA